Portunus trituberculatus (swimming crab) is the source of this 4646-nucleotide long non-coding RNA. RefSeq lists it as uncharacterized. The record is from RefSeq and is a predicted model, not a curated record. Lineage: Eukaryota; Metazoa; Arthropoda; Malacostraca; Decapoda; Portunidae. The transcript is spliced from 2 exons.
ACACACACACACGUACAGUAACCUUGACGGCAGAGAAGCAUCACGCAAACAGUUAAAAGUUGUUUAAGUGAUGCCGGAUUUUCUAGGCCUUGUGAAAACAGAAAAUCGGCGACAAACAGAAGGCAACACUACACUUUAACGAGUAGGUGCAGGCAGCGCAACCCCAACGCGGCGAAAAAAAAAGAGAAAUAAUAGCAAGCUCAAGGGAAGCAGGAAGCGGCCUCAACAGCAGAGUACGAGUAUAGGCCCCGCGCUGGGGGUCAGUGGCCUCCAGCCAGCCGGGGCUCCACUCACAGGCACCCUAAUGUGCCUCUACACACAUCUGCAAAACACGUGUCCCCGCCCCUCUGCGGCUGGCAGAAAUCAGUUGCUUUAAUUUUUUCAACGAUUUUUAAGUGCCAUUUAUAACGAGAGAACAAAGAGACAUUAGAGUGAUGAUGUAUGACGCCAGGCAGGCGAGACCUACAAGGUCUGGGUACGCGUCCGAAGGCCGGCCAGUGUUAGGACAGGAGCCAACGAUCGAAGGUUUAAAGCAACCUGGUGCUCGCCUGCCAUGCACGAUAUGAAUCAAGCACAGUGGCUCAGUCGUGAGUCGGACACGCCGGAGGACUGAGCUGUAAAGCACGCAAGCAUCAGGGAAAAGCUUAUUGUUUACUGUUUGGCUGUGACCGUCUUGAAAUACUGCCUGUGCCAAGAUCAGCUGGAACUAAAUAUAUAGAAAUGCAAGCACAAGAAGCGCGGAAAUGCACAUGGUGCGCAUCAGGCAGAAGAGAGCGGUGCAAGAGAGGGGGUGGGGGGAGGAGCGUGCAUGCAGACGUCAAGCACAGCUCUUGCUUGCCAGUGCACCUUGGGAGCCAACACGGUCCACAUGACUCUCAUGGCGGUACGAAAACAGACAAAAUUCGUCAUUGUCGAUCAGCGUAAUAGAAAAGGCGAUGAGAUAGUGAAGUUAUCGGUAUCUCAGAUUACUGAUACAGCGGUGCUUGGCUGCUUUAGAGCACGGCAGUGAGUGAUACACAGUGAAUGGAUGCAGGCAGCCAUCGGGCUGGCGUGCCUCACCAUGCAGCAGCGACAAACCAGUGAUUCUGCAGUAGCGCGAAUCGUCUGCGUGGCGUGAGUCCUGCCCCGCCUGGACGAGUGAACUUUCCGCAAAUAUUGAUUAGCACGAGUGAAAAUGGCGGUGUGAAAUAUAUCGCCUCCGUGAGGACGCAAGUGAAGACGAGGGGCCCACGAAGGGUGUCUCCUGCUUCUGACGAAACUGUAAACAAUCUGGAGGUCAAUGCGUCGCCCAGAGCCGCAGGUUGCAGGUAGUGCACUCUGAGGCAGUCUGGCGCAAGCAUGCCUGGGAGGUCCACCAUAUGCUGCCAAGUGUCAUUCAAGUUAUCCUGUCCCGGAGCUGGAAUAUUAUAUAGUAUGUUAAAGUGUAGUGACGAAAUAUGUGUGUCACGAAGUGGUGCUAGUGUAAGAAAAAAAAUAAUAAAGUGAUAAUUCAUACAACCUCUCUUGGUAACAGAGGUAGUGAAGCAAGCCUCGCUAAGCUUGUGUGUGCGUGUGGAAAAAGAAAAAAAAUAAUAAUCGGUCUCUGAAAUGCAAACUGCGCGGUCCCAGUGUUAUCAUCCUCCCCACGCUUGAGGGGUGAGCGAGGGGCAUGACAAGCGACUUUCUCGGUGGGGAGAGAGAGAGAGAGAGAGAGAGAGAGAGAGAGAGAGAGAGAGAGAGAGAGAGAGAGAGAGAGAGAGAGAGAUUAAUUAGCUUGAAAUUUCAACGGAAUAUUAGGAACAGGAAGCACAAGAGCAACAUUACUAGAAAACCGCCAAAGUGUUACCACCAAUCUUUAUUGGAGGGUAUCAUGGAGGCAACACGACGACAGUACCCCUGAUUGACGGAAGGCAGCGGCCGCCUCAGUACUGGAGUACCUCUGGGGCGGCUUGCUGCGUAGUAGCCGCCUCCACCUUCUACGGCUUCAUUUUGUUCUCAAGUCCUUUAAAACGCUUAUAAUGCAAAAUAUUACGUGAAAAAAGAAAUAAGAAAACGAAAUAACAGAAAGUGAUGAAUAUUGUAAAGUGAGUGAUUUGUGAUUAAGAUUUUUUUUUUUUUCGAGGUUUUAUGAGCUUUGGCUUGUGGAACAAAAAUGGAAUGAUGGCCUGUAAAUUUAACCCACAGUGUUGCUACAUAAAAACAAUAAAGAAUAAUAAUUAUCUAAAAUAAAGAUCAAAGUGGUGAAGUGAUCACAUGAGAGUAUUAUGAAAAAAUAUAUAUAUAUGGUAAAUAGUGGUGUUUUCCAUGUUAACGAUUUGUAUCAGCUGUGGCUUGUGGUGCACUUAGCCAUGAAGCCGAGAACAGCGAAGUUGAGGAGGAUUAGUACAUCACCGGUGGAAGGCAGGCUGUACACAUGUAAUAAUUACCACAGCCUGUCUACAACCUGCCAGCCCCUAAGUACAGGCUAACUACUGCGAUACACACACUCGUGGAUUACAGCAAGUACAGCGCACGGAUCGCUACACAACAACAAACACGGAGAGGAAUUUCACCAUCCAGCCAAUGAGGAAGUGCGGCGGCCCAAUGAAUGAAUGAAUGAACCAAACAAGUUUUUGCCAGCACGGGAAGGCAUUUCCUGUGAUAUGAAUGUGCUUAAUGAUAAAUAAAGAUUGUUGGAGUAAGUAUAAUAUGAUCCUUGCCGAAUGACGAUCCCCCGAAUUCAUCCAAAACACAAACACAUACAUAUACACUAGCAAAUUAAUUACCGUUCCAGCUCGUCGCCUAAUGAAGAGUCUGCAACAGAACCGCCCGCCGCCCCUGCGCUGGAAAACUGCCUUCUGACUGCCCAACUAAAAGGCAAUAGUUGUUGCGUCCGCAAUUAUCAUUAUUUUCAUUAUUAUUAUUAUUAUUAUUAUUAUUAUUAUUAUUAUUAUUAUUAUUAUUAUUAUUAUUAUUAUUAUUAUUAUUAUUAUUAUUAUUAUUACUAUUAUUAUUAUGAUUAUAAUUAUUACUAUUAAGAUUACUAUUACUAUCAUUAAUAGCAAUGAACAUUACCAUUAUUAUCAAUAUCACCGAUAUUUCUCACGCUAUCAAUAUCAUUCAUGAAUAUCAUUGGUAUGUUUUAUUUACAUACUUGCAUUUGCCAAUAUCGGAAUACUCAUAAGAAUAAAUUCUUUUGUUGUAUAUUAUAGAUAAAAAAAAAGAUAUUCUAGUAUUUCAGUGGCUUCGAGACAAGAGAUGUUCAACGUCAUCAUUUUAAGGAGCCACAAACUGAUAAGCACAAUCUUGUGACAUUAACAUAAUCACCGCAGGUGCACACAUGUUAUCAUGAAAACUGUGACACGUCAGCCGACAUCACGGUGCUGUCCUGUGUCUUCCUCCGACGAUCGCGACACACGGCAUGGUUUUCUUUCACCUUGAGGACUGAGGUAGUCAUCCUAUAGCUGUGAUGAAAGUGCCAGUGUGUGUCACUCACUGUCUGGGAGAGUAGCAUGAUGUUUUAGUCAUCGUGGCACAAACACUGGGAUGUUGUCCGUGGUUGCCCGUACGUUCACAAAAACACACACGUACACACACACACACACACACACACACACACACACACACACACACACACACACACACACACACACACACACACACACACAGUCGUUUUGCGGAAGCACCAAUAAAGCUGUAGAAUUGGACAAGACCGUGAUAAUCUGAUACAAGCAUUUCGGCAUGUAUAUUUUCCUUAUACGAAGAAGACAGUUGAUGACCAUUUUGUGGAUUGCAGGAAAAAAUGAGAAAGACUUAACAAGAAAAGACACAACAAAGACGCAACAAUGCAAGUGUUCCAACAAUGUUUUGCCUCACAAGAAUAAACAUGAAGAUAACAAGAACUUCAGAAAAAAAGGAAGAGAGGGAGAAAAGAGAAAGAGAGAGAACAGAAAAAAACUGACAUCAAGCAAGAGCAUCCACAUCACUUCGAGCAAGCCCCCAGUAGCUUUCUUCUGUGUCACUAUAGCAUUGUUCGCUUUGAAAGGAUACUCAGAUUGAACAAGAAUAUAUUUGAUUGAAUAAGGAAAAAUAUUCAUUGUGUGUGUGUGUGUGUGUGUGUGUGUGUGUGUGUGUGUGUGUGUGUGUGUGUGUGUGUGUGUGUGUGUGUGUGUGUGUGUGUGUGUGUGUGUGUGUGUGUGUGUGUGCGCUGCAUCUAUAUAGCAUCACUGAAAAAGAUAACAGCGUCACUAGAUUAGGACAGCGUUGACCGUCUCUCGGUUGAAGAAAAGGAAUCUGGUACAGUUAAAUCUACGUACAAUUUUGUUUCAUCAUUAGUGACAAUUUGGAUAUGAUUUAUCUCUAUACAAGAAGCACGCCAACGCAGCUGUGCACCGGGAAUUCAUUGGAAUGUGUUUAAAAAGAAAACUAUUUCGUGUUUGCGUUGUUUUGCUGCGCCGGACGCCUUGCCAACAUGUUUAUGGUUACCUGCAUCAGCUCGCUCAUUGACAUCGCUCAUGCAGGAAGGUAAGUACAGUGCAAACACGUGAGACUGCAGGUAUGACACGCCGACACAUUACUAGCACGGGAUAUCUGACUACUGUUGCUCCUGUCAACAUUUUUUUUAUUUUCUGAAAAAUGUAUUCAUGUGUGUUGUGUUGGGCGUGUGCGCAUAAACAAAAGACACAUUU